Molecule: ribosomal RNA, 425 nt
Filed under: uncultured bacterium
Lineage: Bacteria
Description: partial 16S ribosomal RNA
Rfam family: Bacterial small subunit ribosomal RNA
Source: RNAcentral
GUGGGGAAUAUUGGGCAAUGGGCGAAAGCCUGACCCAGCAACGCCGCGUGAAGGAAGAAGGUUUUCGGAUCGUAAACUUCUAUCCUUGGUGAAGAUAAUGACGGUAGACAAGAAGGAAGCCCCGGCUAACUACGUGCCAGCAGGCGCGGUAAUACGUAGGGGGCAAGCGUUGUCCGGAAUGAUUGGGCGUAAAGGGCGCGUAGGCGGCCCGGUAAGUCUGAAGUGAAAGUCCUGCUUUUAAGGUGGGAAUUGCUUUGGAUACUGUCGGGCUUGAGUGCAGGAGAGGUAAGCGGAAUUCCCGGUGUAGCGGUGAAAUGCGUAGAGAUCGGGAGGAACACCAGUGGCGAAGGCGGCUUACUGGACUGUAACUGACGCUGAGGCGCGAAAGUGUGGGGAGCAAACAGGAUUAGAAACCCGAGUAGUCC